CCGCGAGCAAACAGCACCUUUAUGUCAAGCUAUGCACCUCUCAGCCCUGACUGUUAACAACUCUGUGAAUGAAGCAGAACCUAAAGGAGAAACGUAAAGAGGAGCACUGGGAGUGGCCAGAACUUCUCCCUCUAGUGGCCAUGAGACCAUAGUGAAGAAGCAGAACCCCUCCUUCACAACAUCCAGAAGUGAGGAACUCUCUCCAGGAGGUAGGUAUUUCAUAUCAGCAUACCAUAAAGAAUAGACCCCACAAGAGCAAAUUAAGUGUGUUUAUAAACUUCAACAGUAGAAAGUCCCAGGACAUGUAGAUUAGCAAAC
Molecule: long non-coding RNA, 318 nt
Organism: Mugil cephalus (flathead mullet)
Lineage: Eukaryota; Metazoa; Chordata; Actinopteri; Mugiliformes; Mugilidae
Exons: 3
Source: RefSeq, a predicted model, not a curated record